UGCUUUGAUGUUUUUAGUGGUUAAAAUUGUAUUUUUGGAAUCGUAUAAGAAUCGAUUACUUAGCAGUCAUACUUAGCAUCCUUACUGGUUAACUGUAGGCCUAGACUGCCGCAAUUUUUUAAAUGGAUCGUGUGGUGUAAUAUGACAGUACCAGGUCCAGGUCACCCAUCAUAUCUCCAACCCAGUUGUUCCAUCCCAGCAGAUGAAACCUAGAGGUCAUCGACUGCUAGAUUACCCUGAUUCCUGGAGAUGCUCCGUAAGGGGAAAGGGAACGUCCGCCCGGCAAAGGGACGAUGAUUUCAUCAGAAAUGAAGUGCCCAAUUCACAUGGCCCUGUGGCAGUGUGGUCGGCGAGCGACAACGUGGAAAACUGAAAAGAUUGGUGACGGAACGGGGGUUAGAGAAUCCCUACACAGCUUGUGGGAUUGUGGCUAAAAUGGCACGCAAAGAGAUCGUAGGAGGUAGAUUGCAGAUUGGCGGAGUAAAGGUGAGUUACUUGACUUUGUGCAUUUAUAGUCGGUACUGGUAUAUUGUACCCUUUCUUUUUCCGGUGCACGUGUGAAGAGGUUUGUGCUGGACUUCGAAGCCGCAACGUGGCAAGCACUUUCUUCAGUAUGGUCGGACGUUGAAAAGCAGGGCUGCUCUUCUCACUUCACCCAGGCCAUAACAGCAUAAUGAAGAAUGUGCGCCACAAUAGUUUGGCUCGCCUAUACAAUAAAGGAGUAGUUAAACAUAUUUAUAUAUGUCCUUGUAUAUGUCUACGGAGCGUUAUCUGUGAAGUGUGAACUCUCUUCUUCGGAGGUGUUUAAGGAUCUACGGGCCGCAGUAUUGCAAAGAGCAUGUUUGUAAUCGGUAUAAUCUUGACGAUGAGAUCUGGGACUUUCUCGACAUAUUCGACGGAUACUCAGCUGUGUUCGGACUUGUUUCCGUCGCACUCUUCGAAACAAUUGCAGUUGCUUGGGUCUUCAAACUAGUGAACUUCGAAAAUGAGAGAAUGAUUCAUUCAACACCGUCAUCAUGAUUGGAAGCUUCGUGGACAUGUUCUUCAACCCUCUGCUCUGUUACUACGCUUGGAACAAAGACACCGACUCGAAAGACGAGUUAUCUUAUCCACCAUGGGCCGUGUUUAUAUAAUGGUAAUAUUGAUACUAAGCUCGAUGUUCUGUAAUCCAUUAUUUGGGGGUCUUGUACGUUUUGGAAUUUUCGACCCGAUUUCUAACAGGAGAAAUAAAAGAGCUGAACAGAAUGAUAACGAGGCAUAUUAGUAAAUAUCAGGGGUAGGCUGGGCAUUUUCGAAUAUCUGUUGAUUUCAGAAUCGAAUGUUUUUUCGAAUCGAAUCUUGAAUACUUCGCAGUCAAUGGGAGAUAUGUAAUUGUAUGAGUCUUUUUUACUGUACUGAAUGAAUGUCAACAAAUGAUUUACUGAAAACAUAGAAUUAAUCAAUAAGACAGAUUGCUGAGUGUUCUCACACAAUGAAAAACACUUAUUUAUCAAUAACUCAGUACGGAAAAUGGUCAAAUGUCAGAAUUGCAUUGAAAAAAUAUGACUUCAAUGAAAAAAAAAAAACAUUGACAAGACAUCGUCUCAUUUGGCGACACACUCUCGUAUUCAAGCACCGAAUUUUUCGUUUGAGUAGCGCAGUAUUUUUUGGUCGACUACUGACUUGUUUAAUGAUCAAGUCGUUUGGCUACCGAGGUGUCACUGUACUUUCUUUAAUAUUGUUUUCUAUGAAAGCUUCAGUAUGAUAGCUAAUCUGGUAUGAACCUUUAAAAACCAAGUUUUUCACAAAAUUGAUCUUUAGUUGAGCGGCAGUUUGUGGGUUUAUAAUCUAUGACAAAAUUCUGUCGAAAUCACAAUGCUUCCAACAAAUACACUACCUCUGAUUUAUAUACUGUGCUUAGAUACCUUGAAAUUUAUUUUUCCAUCUAUUGUACAAUGUUUUACCCUGUUUAUAUUUGCUAUUGAUUCUUCUGUGUCUGCUUUCUAUUGAAGCUUUUUCUUAUUUCCCAUUGAAAUGUAUUGUUUUUGUCUUGUUCUUAAUUGUUUUAAAUGAUUUUUUUUCUGUGAUUGGCACAAGAUAUUUAUGCUAGUUUUUACUGAUCCAAAAGUCGUUAAUAUUUGAAUCCGUUCCAAAUCAUUCAAAACUUGAUAUUCUACAAUAUACACAAGUCUUUUGUAAAACUUAUGAACGACUUUCUCUAAUAUACCCAAUUUGCUAUUCCAACCAAGGUUAUUUGUUUUAUUGUUAUUUUCCAAUGAAGCUCUCUUUUCUGUUUCCCAUUGAAAUGUAGUGUCUGUUUCACUUUUAUAUAUUUGUCGUCUGAAUCAGUUUUGUCACAAUCCCCAAACUUCAAUCUAAAGCAGUGAUUCUCAAAUUUUUUAAGCCACGUUUUUAGAAUUUGUCAAGUCUCUUGCCCUACCUCAAAAAUAACUAGCUAACAAUAAGCUACGUGGGGCGAAAGUAUGUUUUAUUCAAAAAACCACGUUGGAAAUACAAGGAUGGAAUGUAAAUAGAAAAAUGAGGGCAAGAGCAAAUCCAACAUAUUUUUUUAUUUUAAUUAGCUUCAAGCUCCUUCAAAAAAUUGUCUAUGCCCUUCUUGUGGGGCGUGGGCCGUUGUAUGAGAUCUAAAGUCAAUCUAAAUUGCCACUGGUAGAGCAUAUAAUCGAACCAAUUACCGUCCUAUACACAUAACCUUACACUCAAAUUGGAAUGAAAACUAUCGCUCCUUAGAAUAUCUUUAUUUUUGAGUAAAGACUUGAAGUUGUUGAGAAAUCUGUGAAGUUGUUGAAAAAUCUGUGAACGUCCUGUGUAGACAUCUUGCUAAACCCUAUAAAACUAUGCUGCAUUUUAUUGCUUCUAAUGAUAAGUUCGCCCAAAUGAAUUUUAUUGGACACGUUUAGUGGACAUAACGAUCGUUUCAAUAUUAUGUUGUUAUUGUUAUUUGUCUCCAUCAUUUUUAAAAAAUUGCUUUUUUCUUGGAAU
Molecule: non-coding RNA, 2982 nt
Organism: Styela clava
Lineage: Eukaryota; Metazoa; Chordata; Ascidiacea; Stolidobranchia; Styelidae
Source: RefSeq, a predicted model, not a curated record